CUAAGACAUGCAAGUCGAACGCANAUUUUGUAGCAAUACGAGAUCUGAGUGGCGAAUGGGUGCGUAUACCAGCGUAGGUUACCUGCCCUGAAGUGGGGAAUAACAGUCCGAAAGUGACUGCUAAUACCGCAUACGUGUUCAAGGCGUUAGCAGAACUUGAACCAAAGUCUCGGCAACGGGCGCUCUCAGGAGGGCGCCUGCGGCCCAUCAGAUAGUUGGUACGUGGUAACGGCCUACCAAGUCAACGACGGGUAGGGGACCUGAGAGGGUGGCCCCCCACACUGGCACUGACAUCACGGGCCAUGACUCCUACGGGAGGCAGCAGUUCGGNGAAUAUUGCCCAAUGGACGAAAGUCUGAGGCAUGCAAUCGCCUGCGUGCGCGAUGAAGGCCUUCGGGUCGUANAGCGCUUUUCGGGAGGAUGAGNAAGGACAGUACUCCCGGAAUAAGGAACGGCUAACUACGCUGUCCAGUCAGCCAGCGGGUAAAACGUAGUUCCGAUGCGUUAUCCGGAUUUACUGGGCGUCAGGUGUUCAGGCGGCUCAGCAAGUCGGGCAUGAAAUCUCUCGGCUCAACCGGGAGAGGCUGUCCGCAUCCUGCUGGGCUUUGAGGGCAGUAAGGGUGGUGGCAAUUCCGGGUGUCGUGGUGAAUGCGUAAAUUCCGGAGGAACACCAGUGGCGAACGCGGCCACCUGGACUGUGNCUGUACGCUCUAAACACGAAGCCUAGGGGAGCCACGGGAUUUAACCCCGUUCUCUCUCCCUAGCCAUAAACGAUGUGACUAGGUGUCACGGUCUAAACCCCCGUUGGUGCCGGAGCAAACGCACUAAGUCAACCGCCUGGGGACUACGGCCGCAAGGUUAAAACUCAAAGGAAUUGACGGGGACCCGCACAAGCAGCGGAGCGUGUGGUUUAAUUCGAGGCUACGCGAAGAACCUUACCAGGGAUUGACAUGACCGUAGUAGUGAAGCGAAAGCGGAACGACCCUUCGGGGAGCGGUCACAGGUGAUGCAUGGCUGUCGUCAGCUCGUGCCGUGAGGUGUUUGGUUAAGUCCACUAACGAGCGCAACCCCUAGGGCCAGUUACACGUGUCUGGUCCGACUGCCGGUAUUAAGCCGGAGGAAGGUGGGGAUGACGUCAAGUCAGCAUGUCCUUUAUACCCUGGGCUACACACACGCUACAAUGGCCGGUACAAUGGGUUGCCAAGCCGCGAGGCGGAGCCAAUCCUCAAAAGCCGGUCUCAGUUCGGAUUGCAGGCUGCAACCCGCCUGCAUGAAGUCGGAGUUGCUAGUAACCGCAGGACAGCUAUACUGCGGUGAAUACGUUCCCGGGUCUUGUACACACCGCCCGUCACGUCAUGGGAGCUGGCAACACCUGAAGCCGGUGGGCGAACCGCAAGGACGCAGCCGUCGAAGGUGGGGUCGGUGACUGGGACGAAGUCGUAACAAGGUAGCUGUAGCGGAAGCUGCGGCUGGAUCACCUCCUU
RNAcentral lists this ribosomal RNA (1484 nucleotides) under uncultured bacterium. RNAcentral's name for it is "bacterial SSU rRNA". It matches the Rfam family "Bacterial small subunit ribosomal RNA". The record is from RNAcentral.